RNAcentral lists this unclassified non-coding RNA (815 nucleotides) under Hevea brasiliensis (rubber tree). The record is from RNAcentral. Lineage: Eukaryota; Viridiplantae; Streptophyta; Magnoliopsida; Malpighiales; Euphorbiaceae.
AGCUGAAAAUUUACUUAAAUGAACAAAUGUUUCCUUUCCAUUGUGAUGAGGGUAGUUCUCGCUAAACCAUAGCACUAAUUUUGCAUGGUAUGGAGCACCAAGUUCCUUCGGCAUUUUUGCCUUCCCCACCACUCAUACCCGAGCCACCUAGCAUCCUUGGGCCCCCACCACUGCAACAAUCAGCAACAAUUGCAUGUCCCAUGCAACACACUUCCCCCACUAGCCUUCCAUCAACACCUGUCCAUCGAAUAACUUGCUCAAGCCCAUCCACCACAUUGGCCAAUCCACCAUCUGACCGUAUUACAUCCCACCCACGUAUUUCUCGUCAUUCCCCACCAUCAUCAACUGAAGGAUUAUCAUUAGUUGUUGACCUAAAAGAUCAUCCACCUAAUGCUUCUCAACGAUACAAAACCCACUCCAUGGUGACAAGGUCACAAACUGCAACCUAAAACCCAAAACAUUCUCUGCUACUAUGACCUCUCCCUUAAGACCCACAUGUUACACCAAAGCUGUGAAGGACAAGCAAUGGCAAGAAGCCAUGCAACAAGAAUUGAACGCCUUGCUUCAAACACAAACAUAGGAGCUAGUUCCUUGACAGGAAACUUCCAAUAUCAUUGGGUGCAAAUGGGUGUUUCGAAUAAAACAAAAGGCGGAUGGGUCCAUUGAUUGUUACAAAGCAAAACUUGUGGCAAAGGUUUUUCAUCAAUGCCCUGGCAUUGACUUUAUAUGGAGACCUUUUCCCUAGUUGUCAAGUCAACAACACUAAGGGUCAUCUUAUCUCUUACAGUGACAUAUGGUUGGAACAUCAAGCAAUU